UUUUUUUUUUCUAAAAAAAUUAGAAAAAUAUGUCUGAAGAUGGACAUGAGGUGAACUCUGAUUUGCAGAAGAGAUUCCCUUGUUUUAUUUUUCUUUUUUUUUGUUGUGCUGUGUUUAAUUGGCCUCAAGAGUGAUAACAUACACAGGAAUACAUUAACUCGUAAAUCGGGAACAAGGUUCUGCACAAGCCAACAUGACUACAUGAGUACAUGGCCUUCAUCUCCUUGAUUCAAAAAGAUCUGAAUCUAGCCAAAUAUGUUAAUCUACAACAAACGGUGUGAUGUGCCCGCAUCGAGACAUUUAUAAUUGUUCCGACAAUUUUUUUUUAGGACUAAUCCGACAGUUGGAAUCUGAAUACUCUAGCUAACAUUUACUAGUCAAUACAGAGUGAACAUCCAACAAGAAACUGGAAACAGCCGGAAACUGCAGGUUAGACGAACACUAGCCUAUAACAAAACUCAAAAGCCAAGGAUAUGAAUGAAGAGCUUGAUUUCUCUGAACACAUUGUGAUACACUGAUAUUUACCAAAUCAAACUGAGCUGAUCAAUCAGCAAGGAGCUGUUUCCAGGCCAAUAACAUCCAUCCAUCAGUUUAACCGUGAAAUUUCUUUAAUCAAGGGUCUAUACUUCUAGCCGCAUCCAGUAAUACUAAUUUGGCCCAUAGGUAGACACGUAAUAACAUUAUAACAAGAGAUUACACAAGUUUUAUUUUGCAAUGGCCAAAUAAUCAAACAUGUAAUCAGACAAUCAAACAUGUAUAUAUCAACAAUAUGAUCCAAAGAAUAAAAUAGUAAUAGUCACGGACCAAAUAAUCAAAUCAAACAUGUAAUCAGACAAACAUGUAUAUAUCAAUAAUAUGAUCCAUAAUAUGAUCCAAAAAGGAAAAAGGUUUGGAUUAAGCCAAGCUUUCAUAAAAAAAAAUAUGAUUAAUAUUAUGAUUCUAUGCACAUUUAACCUGAUGGACGGUCCAGUAUCAGUAGCUCUAAUCAAACUUCUAAUGAAAAUCAAGAACUGCAUUCUUUUUAGGUAGUAGGUUUUAACCAGUCUCAAAAAUUGAAAAAUGCCAGAACCUGAAGUGAACAUUCAGUCAAAAGAUUUAGGUGCGACAAACACCAGUAAAAAAAAUUGAUAGCCAACCAAUUUAGUAAAAUUAACUGACAUAGCAAAAAACAAUAUUCAACACAUAUUUUAAAUUCCAACAUCACAUUUAUUUAGAAUUAAGCCAUAUGCUGCCGCACUAUAGUUUAGGGUAGAACACAGAGGAACACAACCGGUCCAUGAAACGAACUCAGACACGACACAGACCAUACAAAUGCUUCCAUACAAAUACUUCAGACUGACCAACGCUUCAAUGACGGACCAUACAGAUACUUCAAAGACUGGACAUGGCCGAAACAAGAGGCACUAGACAACCCAGGUGCGGCAGCAGCUUCAACGACUGAUGGCUUACUGACCACCGCGAAGACGGAGCACCAGGUGGAGGGUGCUCUCCUUCUGGAUGUUGUAGUCUGCAAGGGUGCGACCAUCCUCCAGCUGCUUGCCAGCGAAGAUCAGACGCUGCUGGUCUGGGGGGAUACCCUCCUUAUCCUGGAUCUUAGCCUUCACAUUGUCGAUGGUGUCAGAGCUCUCAACCUCCAGGGUUAUGGUCUUGCCAGUCAAAGUCUUCACAAAGAUCUGCAUACCACCCCUCAGGCGGAGCACCAAGUGGAGGGUGCUCUCCUUCUGGAUGUUGUAGUCCGCAAGAGUACGGCCAUCCUCCAGCUGCUUGCCAGCAAAGAUCAGACGCUGCUGAUCCGGGGGAAUGCCCUCCUUGUCCUGGAUCUUGGCCUUCACAUUGUCGAUGGUGUCAGAGCUCUCAACCUCCAAGGUGAUGGUCUUGCCCGUCAAUGUCUUCACGAAGAUCUGCAUUCCUCCCCUGAGGCGGAGCACCAGGUGGAGGGUGCUCUCUUUCUGGAUGUUGUAAUCCGCAAGGGUGCGGCCAUCCUCCAGCUGCUUGCCAGCGAAGAUCAGACGCUGCUGGUCCGGUGGGAUGCCCUCCUUGUCCUGGAUCUUGGCCUUGACAUUGUCGAUGGUGUCCGAGGACUCCACCUCAAGGGUGAUCGUCUUGCCAGUAAGGGUCUUCACGAAGAUCUGCAUGCCUCCCCUAAGGCGCAGCACCAAGUGGAGGGUGCUCUCCUUCUGAAUGUUGUAAUCAGCGAGAGUGCGCCCGUCCUCCAGCUGCUUGCCGGCGAAGAUGAGCCGCUGCUGGUCAGGGGGGAUGCCCUCCUUGUCCUGGAUCUUGGCCUUGACAUUGUCGAUGGUGUCCGAGGACUCCACCUCAAGGGUGAUAGUCUUGCCGGUCAGGGUCUUCACAAAGAUCUGCAUGCCUCCCCUGAGGCGGAGCACAAGGUGGAGAGUGCUCUCCUUCUGGAUGUUGUAGUCGGCAAGCGUGCGCCCGUCCUCGAGUUGCUUGCCGGCAAAGAUGAGCCGCUGCUGGUCUGGGGGGAUGCCUUCCUUGUCCUGGAUCUUGGCCUUGACGUUGUCAAUGGUGUCAGAAGACUCCACCUCAAGGGUGAUUGUCUUGCCAGUCAAGGUCUUGACAAAGAUCUGCAUGCCUCCCCUGAGGCGCAGCACCAAGUGGAGGGUUGACUCCUUCUGAAUGUUGUAGUCGGCAAGCGUGCGGCCGUCCUCAAGCUGCUUGCCAGCGAAGAUAAGCCGCUGCUGGUCAGGAGGGAUGCCCUCCUUGUCCUGGAUCUUGGCCUUGACGUUGUCUAUGGUGUCAGAAGACUCCACCUCAAGGGUGAUAGUCUUGCCGGUGAGGGUCUUCACAAAGAUCUGCAUCUGCAGAGAAACCAAACAAAAGGGUAAGCAUAUAGUAGUACACCAAGUAGAAAAAGAAGCAACCAUAAACAUGUAACAUGUAGGUGGCACAGAAUCAAGGAACAGUAGCAGUGAAUAACAAGAGCAUGCAUGCUCAUCAGGUAGAUGCUAAAGAAUUAUCGAAUCAAACAGCAGCCACAUAUAUUUUAAUCUUUCUAAGCAUGCAUAUCAAACAAAACAGGACAAAGCAUGCGCAUCAAGUAAUAGCUAAGUAGGUCGAUGCAUAUUUUCUCGAACAUCAGGCAAACAUGAAUUCUUAUGUAUGUUUUCUCCAACAUCAGGCAAACAUGAAUUCUUAUUAAGACAGCCACAGAGUUCAACGAAUAAGCAUGAUGCACUUUAAUCAGACAAAAGCUACAGCCUCGGCAGAAAACCGCAGCAUAUAUCUUAAGCACAUAUUUCAUCCAUCAUAUAACACAUGCAGAUCCAAAUUUAAUAAGACAAGCAGCUAGUUCAUACUAGCUCAUAUCAAUUCUAUAUGAACAUAUAUGUUAAAACAGGCAGAUCCAAAUUUAAUAAGACAGCAGCUGGUUCAUAUGACUUGAUCUGGACGGGCAUCAGAACCAGCACCAAAAACAACAAAACUAGUAUGACGAACCAGACGCACAGGCCUAGCUAGGGACAUCAAACGAGAUCAAGGAUAAAUAAAUCAGAGUCACCCUACUUGUUUCCAUCUAAUCUAAUAGGACGAUCAAUACAUCAUUCUGCAUCAGAUACAACCUAAUCACAAGCCCAAAUAAUCAUAACAACCCAACCCUACAAGGGUCCCACAGUUACCAGAGAGUACUCGGCUUCUAGAUCGAGAGCCCCCAUAACAAAUCGCUACAGUUACCAGAGAGAGUACUCGACUUCUAGAUCGAGGGCUCCCAUAAUAAAUCGCCACAGUUACCACCAGAUCGAGACCAUAAUAAAUCGCCAGAAAGAUGACUCGCAGCCCCAAUAACCCAUAAUCGAGAGGAGGGGAGGGGAGAAGCGAAAGCGGGAGGACGAUCGCCGUACCUUGAAGCGAGGGAAGGGGGCGAUCGACGAGGCUCGGAGAAGAGGGAUUGGGAUCGGGCUGUGUCCGUGGACGCCGAACAACACGAGGGACGAAGACGAGUUGGGGGGAAAGAGGCGAGGAGGGGGUGGCUAUUUAUGAGGAAAAAGAAGGGCAGGGGGAGGGGAAGGAAAAAUCGUGGUGCCGUGUGCCGGGACGGUUUCGUGCCGUGUGAGACCAGCCCGCCUCGGCUCCGCUCCGCCACGCAAUUUCCGGGAUGCCGGCAGGCAGCGCAUUCGAGAGCAGCCGAGAGAGAUGCCGUUCAAUGCUCUGCGUCAACGGCUCUCUCGGCCAUCUUGCUUAGCUGUUUUUUUUUUUACAAUGAAACUAUGGCCUUGUUUAGUUUCAAAAAUUUUCAAGAUUUUCCAUCCCAUCAAAUUUUACGGCAGAUGUAUGGUGCAUUAAAUAUACAUAAAAAUAAAAACUAAUUACACAGUUCAUCUGACAAUGUUUAUCAAAUAAAAACAAAAAUGCUACAGUGUUAAAACCCAAAAUUUUUGCCAACUGAACAAGGCCUAUAUGAUUAACAGCGUGUUACGGUUAGGACCAUUAUAGAGUUAAUAGUUAUAUUUGAGAGUGUCGAAAGUAAAGGACACUUUUGCUCAUGAGCAGAAUGACAACAAGCACUAUUAAGAGAGAUUUGAUUGCAAACUAAUUCACUCAGAGCCUAUCUAGCUAGUUGAUCAGCCAUAUGAUUCUGGUAAUCUUGCGAAUCGCUAUAGUUGUACCAUGAAUCUUGGAGCUGGUAAUUUGAAUGUAGGAUUUAAUUCUCCAUCAGGAUGAUGAUCAAACUAAGACCCGUUUAGAAAGAGUACUAACUAUUGAUUAUCUGUUAAAAUAGUGGAAUCAAUCAUGUACAUAGCUUCUAGCACCGUGGUUGCUAGAGUAAGGGCAGCUGCUUCUGUCAUCAGCACUGACGAAGAGUUUGCACAAUUUUUCCUUUUUUUUUAUUCCUUAGGCCUUGUUUAGUUCGUAAAAAAUUUCAAGAUUCUCCGUCACAUCGAAUCUUUGGUCGUAUGCAUGGAGCAUUAAAUAUAGAUGAAAAUAAAAACUAAUUGCACAGUUUACUUGUAAUUUGUGAGAUGAAUCUUUUGAGCCUAGUUACUCCGUGAUUGGACAAUGUUUGUCAAAUAAAACGAAAUGCUACAGUAGCCAAAAAUAAAAAAUUUUGCGAACUAAACAAGGCCUUAGAAUCGUUUUUUUCUCUUUCUGUUGGAUGGCGGUAGUUGAUCGGUCGACGCGACGCCAAAUAUCUCUAUGCUCAAUGACGCUGAUGGAUGUGGCCUGCCGCUUGGAAGAAUUUUUUUUUUCUAAUAUACGAGUAUAGAAAUAGAAUUAAGGUGUUUGGAAUUAGUUCCCUUCUAUAUUUUUGAGCAAAAGGAUUUUAACGUACUUUGUUUGAGAAAAAGAGUAAAAUUGUAGAGGUGCUUUAAACUAAUUUUGUUUUAAAGCAUGCAGUUCCAAACACCGUAAAAAUAAUAGUAUAUCUAUAGUGAAGUUUAUGAAGUAAAGUUUUAAAGCAUGCAGUUCCAAACACCCUAAAAAUAAGUUUGAUCCCUCUUCUAUAAAAUAAUGCCAGCCAAACGCUUAUGCGGUGUUUCUCGGAAACUCUUACCCGAUAUCCAUUUAUCUUUUUCUCAUCGGGAUGUUACUCCCUUCGUAAAGAAAAAACGUAAAUCUCAAUUCCCUUCGGAUGAGUAAAAGAAUUCAAGUUUAAUUAAUUUAUGAAAUAAAUAUCUAUAUUCAUAAUUUCAAAUAUAUUUAUUCUAAAAAUAUAAUUUUUGCUCAAUUUACAGUAGUUAUUAUACACAUAAUAAAUACUAAUAUAUCUUAAUUGAAGACAGAGAUCUUGUCACCAUUACGUUAAAAAAAUACUAGUAUAUUUCUAUAUAUAUUCAGCUCCUAUUUAGUUCUCUUACAAAAACUUUUCGCUCAACCACAUUAAAUGUUUAGACAUAUGACACAUUAAAUAUAUAUUAAAAAAUAACUAAUUACGUAUUUGUCAGACAAAUAUUUUAGACAUAAUUAGUCCAUGAUUAGACACAAAUAUACUACAGUACCUAAAAAUUUUCUUUUCAUAAACUAAAUAAGGCCCAGUCAAGCUCCAUAAUACUUAACGUCUUUACUAACAAUGGAGUACAUGGACGAGCGGUUUUGUGUUUUACAAAUGGACGGCAGGGAGAGACGAACAAAUAUGAAGGGUUUUUUGCAUUCUCUUAUUUUAACUUGUACGGGCUCAUUUAAAUUUAAAUUUAAAUUUCCGUAGAGGCUCAAACCCUUUUUCCUAAAAAAGAAUGAAUCGCUGAUCGUUGCCUUGGUUGAGAAGGCUCAAGAAAGUAGAAAUGAUGUGACGAAGGAAUCAUGGAGUGAAAACAGAGCAACGAGGUGUAUUGUCAACUCAUUGGAUAAACAAACCAUCACUACCUUUUUAAAGGAAGUAAACUCAGCUUGUGCAGAUACUGGGCCCUGCUUCUUUUUAAGGCCGUGUUCGGUUAGGUCGUUAGGAAAAUUCUGGCCCAAAAUCAUUCCUGCUAACAUAAUCUUACAUAAAAUUGAAUAGCAAUCCUGAACUGAAAUUGUUCCUGGAGUUUUUAUUGCUAAAACGAACGGGGCCUAAUACAGUAAGCAAUCGGUUCUUAAAAAAAUGGUGAGUACACUGUAGAGAUAGAGAUUACAUUAAUCGGUUGAUAUAGGUAUACCUUGUUGCAAUGCAUUUCUUUGCAGGUUAGCUGAAAUGAUAUUACGGCCUGUUUGCUUUGCUUCCACAAGCCACAACGAGACUCUGGCGGCGCCUGAACUCUAUUUUUUGGCGGCAGAGUUUUGGCAAGAUACAGCAACGAAAUAAACUAAGGCCUGGUUUAUAGUUCUAAACAAAUUUUAAAAUUAUGUGUCACAUCGAAUCUUCAGACGUAAUGUAUGGAGCAUUAAAUAUAGAUGAAAACAAAAACUAAUUAUAUAGUUUGCCUAUAAUUUACGAGACGAAUCUUUUAAGCCUAGUUAGUCUAUAAUUAGACAAUAAUUGUCAAAUAAAGGAAAGUAUGCAAUCUAGCUCCAUCUCAUGGAUCAGUGCCUUAUGCCAAGAAGAGGAGAAGACUAAUUAGUGUUCUGCUCCUACUUCUUUUUUUUUUCUUUUUUUUUCCUUCCUCGUUCCCUAGUUGUCUUAGGGCCUUUCUGUAAACCAUAUGGCCGCACUUCCUUUUCAAAUAAAAUUCUUGUAGGGGCCAAAGCCCCUCCAAAUAAAAAUACUAUAGUAGUCAAAGCUAAAAAAUUUCGCAAACAGCCUAAGAAACAGCUGAACAUCCAGAAACCAAACGGUUGCCUAAGUAAAUGCGGCGUGCCAAACUUAGGGUGUGGCAACUUAUGGACGCCAUUCAUAGCCAGUGCCACAAAAGGUUAGGCAUAUGCCAGGGUAGUGGCAUGCCCAUUUUUGUGGCAAAAAUAAGGUGUUUAGUGCACUAUCAUUUAGCUCCGGCAACUGUUUGGUUUUUAGUCAUAUGAGCUGCCACAAGUUUGGCAAAUAAAAAGGUGAGCUUACCACUUGAAGUCACGACACCAGCAUUUCGACACUUUCACUUCAGCACGGUGGAAAAGAAUGCAAGUAAUUAGCACCAGUAAACAUAUUGGGCAAUAAUAGUCCCUAGCUAUAUUACUAAUAUACACAAGCAUGAUGAGUUGCAGAGGACCAGUCUGUUCUGUACAAAAGCAGCAACAGCUGUCUUCAGAUUUGGGUUAUAUACAGUCAUACAAAACCAUCAACUACUCUGACAUCAGCUGCAGAGGACCAUUUGAGUCUACCCUAUCCAAAAGCAUCAGCACAUAAUUUAUAGAAGCAUCAAUGAUCAUUAUGCUUAGAUGAUGAGCACUUCCAUAGUUCCAUGUGCUAAAGAAGUUCACCAAAACACCCUUUAGAAGCAAACGAAGAGACAAAUGAUGUUUUGUUAGACUAAUUAGCUUGCCUCUGCUUUAUGUUUCAGUAUCCUAGCUGAAGGUGUUUCAUGACUAUACCUCAAAGUAACUAAGUAAGGGUGGAACCUUCCUGGCUUACUUGUGAUCUUUGGGUGUGUUUCAGUGGUCCUGUAUUUGAGUCCUCCGACAAGUAUUACACACGCAUCUAAAACCUCAUUAAGGAGUGAACUCUUUAAUUAUUUUAGGGGCCUAGGUUAUUUGGAGACAUAGAAAUACAUGUGUUUUUGAGGGGGCUUCUCCUUCGAUUAGCAUGAUCUAGAGUGAGUUGAAGAAUGAGCACAACCUCUAGUGUAUGGCUGGGGGAAAGAUGCUUCAAGGACUUAAUUUGGCACUCACAGACUAGGUUCUUUUAGUUAAGGUCGAGUUGUGUUUGUUCUCUAUGUGUUUAACCCUGGUGUAUAUAUAAUCGCCUCACUCAUAUCUGGUCCCCGUAUGAGUGAGGAUCCUAUUGGGACCCAUCUAUUUUUCAUCUCUAUAAUACAGUGAAAUGCAGCUCUUCUGCGUUAAAAAAAAUCUCAUUAAAGUACCUACUAACAGUCUCACCUGAUCGGAUGAACUCAAAACCAAUAGCUCUAUUAGACUAGUUAUGACCCAAUGCAUGCAUAAACAUUACAACUUGUUCUUCCAUUGUCACAUUCAAUGUGUCCAUCACAAGACCAUGUGAUCUGAGACUUUGACAGAGCAUACAAAUAUAUUCUUUCCCAUGCACAGUUCAGAAAUACAAUGGGCCUCCGUACCAUUAUACGAACGACUUAGGCCGUGUUUAGUUCGCGAACAAAAAAAUUUCGCGACAUUGUAGCACUUUCGUUUGUUUGUGGUAAUACUAACUAGGCUUAAAAGAUUUGUCUCAUAAAUUUUGACCAAACUGUGCAAUUAGUUUUUAUUUUCGUCUAUAUUUAAUACUCCAUGCAUGCGUCUAAAGAUUCGAUGUGACGGAGAAUCUUGAAAAAUUUUGCGUUUUUGGGUGGAAGUAAACAAGGCCUUAAUAUAAACGGGUUUCACAUGUUUAGCAGAUUAGUGUCCAUAUGUCACACCUUCUCUGUCUCGCUUUCACAUGUUUAGCAGAUUAGUGUAACUAGGUAGACACAAAGCAAUAGCAGCUACCAACCUUCUCCUACAAAUGUAGUACUGGCAGUAGUAACUGAAGUAAUAAUAUAUGAACUGACUCAUCCUUCGAUCCGUCUGGUUAGCAAAUAUUCCCCAAAAAAUAAAAAUGUAAACACAUAUAUCGGAUUGGAGAAAAAAUAAUUUAGACAAAUAUUAGCCACUUUUGCUAGAUGAUCUCUACCAACAACUCGUCAAGAAAAAAAACAUUUUGACUGUCAUAUGUUUUUCGUAUGGACUCAACAGAAAUGCACUUUUUUUAAGCAAAACAAGCCACAAAUAAUGAUCCGUACAUUUUAGUGAACACUGAACACCCGCUGCGCUAACCUGCUGGCUGUGUGAUAGCAAUUAGCAAGCAAGUACUGUUGGCUCCAUUUUGCAAAUCAAAGUAUCAGCAUGCAUAAGCCAAACUUUUUCCCAUCUAGUAGCAGACGAGCAGUAGCACACAGCCGCGCACAAGCCUCCGCGAGGAAAACUUUCCAGUUGGGAGUUGUGCAGAUGCAAGCUAGAUGGUGUGACAAGCGACGCCGGAGGCAGAAUCUCCGCGCCAGGCCAAGGAGCGGCGGCGGCGGGCACGGUAUUCUUUCCCCGCCAACAGUGAAGAGAUAAUAAGGAGAGAUAAGCGUUGAAGAAAUAUCCACAGGAAAGGGGCCGCGCCAGCAGUUUCGCGCCAUAUAGCACAAUUAGUCAACCACCGCUACUAGUGCCAAUAGUAAUUGAUAGUGAGUCAACUUGAGAUUUUUUGACAUUAUUACCACAAAGAAGAAAUUCUAGAAAUUUUCUUAUUUCACAUCUUCAAGGCAAAUCGAUCCAAUACUGUGGCUGAUUAGUCCAUGGUCACAAAAGCGUGUGGCAUUGUACUUGUGCAUAACUACACUAUAACAAAUGCAGAGGACACUAUGCUAGUUGGAAUUUUCUAAUCACAUUUCCUCGUACCAUCACCAACUAAUAACCACAAAAGAUUUUACUUUUCUUCUAAGUACUCCGUAAACCGUUACAUAUAUGCAUGAGGAUCUGUUCCGGAUGCAGAGCUAAUUAAAGAAGCACGCAACAGUCCUGCAAGAGCAAGAGCUCAUCAGAGAGAGAGGUAAAAAAACGCGCGCGGGAGGCGAUGGAGGGAGGCGGGAGCGCGGCGAAAGGGCCGGUGGUGGUGACGGGGGCGUCGGGCUUCGUCGGCUCCUGGCUCGUCAUGAAGCUCCUCCAGGCCGGCUACACCGUCCGGGCGACCGUGCGCGAUCCCGCGAACGCUGCCAAGACGAAGCCAUUGCUGGACCUUCCCGGAGCAACGGAGCGCCUGUCCAUAUGGAAAGCCGACCUGGCGGAGGAAGGCAGCUUCGACGACGCCAUCAGGGGCUGCACCGGCGUCUUCCACGUCGCCACGCCCUUGGACUUCGAGUCCCAAGACCCCGAGAACGAGGUGAUCAAGCCGGCGGUGGAAGGGGUGAUCAGCAUCUUGCGAGCCUGCAAGGAGGCCGCCGCCGCCGGCGGCGGCACCGUGCGCCGCGUCGUCUUCACUUCCUCCGCCGGGACGUGCAGCGUCGAGGAGCGGCAGAGGCCCGUCUACGGCGACGACGACUGGAGCGACGUCGAUUUCUGCCGUCGCGCCAAGAUGACCGGGUGGAUGUACUUCGUGUCCAAGACCCUGGCGGAGAAGGCGGCGCUGGCGUACGCGGCGGAGCACGGCGUGGACCUCGUCAGCAUCAUCCCGACGCUCGUCGUCGGCCCUUUCGUCAGCUCCGGCAUGCCGCCCAGCCUCGUCACCGCGCUGGCGCUCGUCACGGGGAACGAGGCACACUACUCGAUCCUGAAGCAGGUGCAGUUCGUCCACCUCGACGACCUCUGCGACGCCGAGAUCUUCCUCUUCGAGCACCCGGCCGCCGCCGCCGGACGCUACGUCUGCUCCUCGCACGAUGCCACCAUCCACGGCCUCGCCGCCAUGCUCAGGGAUAGGUACCCCGAGUACGACAUCCCGCAGAGGUUCCCUGGGAUCGAGGACGACCUCCAGCCAGUGCGCUUCUCGUCCAAGAAGCUCCUAGACCAUGGGUUCACUUUCAAGUACACGGCAAUGGAGGACAUGUUCGACGCAGCCAUCCGGACGUGCCGGGAGAAGGGCCUCAUCCCCCUCGCCACUGCCGGAGGCGGAGGGGACGACUCUGCCUCAGUGCGCGCACCUGGCGAGACGGAUGUGACGAUUGUUUGAGAAAAAUUUACAGCUCCCGCCGUCGAUGAUGCUAUCAGCUAUAUAUAUCCCUUCGAGCACCGCUGGCAAUGUGGGAAUUUACAAGUUCCAAACCAAUAUGCCCUACACGUACGGAGUAAAUAAAUUCGGUGUAGACCAGUUUGAUGUUUCGAUCAAUUCCAUUUCUUUCCUGCAUUAUUACGUGCUGUUUUAUACCGAAAUAAAUGUUUCUCAGCAUUUUACUGCAGUGUAGAGAUCCAAGCUCUGUAUGCAUGGUAUUGUUUUGGGUUAUUUGGCAGUUAUUAUGACUCAACUUUUGAAACCUAUCAUUACUAUUAAAAAAGGUAAAGACUUUGUUACGCUCGGCCGCGCACACCCUACUUGCACGGCCACACCUCUCUCUCUCUCUCUCUCUCACCCGCGGCGCCCGGCGAGCUCUUCCCUGUUGCGCUCUCUCCCCAACGGCGACCUCCUUUGGCGAGCCUACGCCCGUGCCCCACCUCCUCCGCAUGGGGUCUUCUUUCUCUCCCCCUCCCCCGUGGCAGCAAUGGCACUAGCGGGGUAGGCCUCCUCUCCUUCUCAUGUUGUCAGUGAGCUCUCCUCUUAUCUUCCCUAACUCCAGCGGCCUCACAUGGAAAUGUUUUGGGAGGGGGGAAGGGAGGAGAGAAGGCCGGUCAGGCGUUAGGGAUGCUUGUUGGUGGUUUAGCAGCCCUAGUGAUAAUGGAGGCGGCCAAGGCAAGUCAGGGUAGGAGUCGUAGGAUGCCAUGACCAAGGCGGUGACGAUGUCCAUGGCGGCAGCGACGGGGGCGGUGGGAAGGGAGGUGGUUGCUGCGGCAGGAGCGAAGGCAUCGGAGCAGUGACGAAGCUAGAGUAAAUUGGAGGGGGGUGCACGUAGCUUGUGGGUGCAUAGACAUCUUCCGUAUGGGGUGCAUAUAUGGUGAAAUUUUGAACCUAAUCAUUGUUUUUAUAAAUUUUGGGGAUGCAUUUGCACCCCCUAAUUAUUAAGCUUCGCCACCGCAUCGGAGUCGAGGAGGAAGAAGCUGCAGUGCUUUUGUUUCGACUAAGAAGCUGCUCAUGUGUGCUUGCACGCGGCCUAAUACACGGCCGUGCAUGCGUUAUCCACCCGUCCUAAAAAAAAUAGUUAGCCAAUCACCAUAACUAGUGCCAACAGCAAUCAAUAGUUAGUCCAUGAUCACGAAAGCAUGUGGCAUUUUUUUUUGACAACAAACAAUUUUAUAUCACAGCAACGUGCUGAUAGAAUAGUUACAUUGUUCAAGCCUACAGAUCGUAGAGCUUGUAAAAGAGCGGGAACUCAGGAAGACUCAAAAUUUAUGUUCUGAGAGGCUGGGUCUGAAAUAGCUUGUUUCGCCAAGCAUCUGCUGUGGUAUUUAGACGCCUGUUGGUCUAGAAGAUCUUGGAUUCCUUGAUUCUUGAGUGGUUGAACACUUGUAUGAAAAUGUUUAUUAGCCAGUCAUUGUAUAACACUGUAACGAAUGCAAAGGACACUAUUUGCAAUUUCUAAUCACAUUUUCUUGUACCAUCACCGACUAAUAAUCACAAAAGAAAUCACGAGGGUCCCCCAUUCACUGUUCUUAGAAGUAAACCAUUACAUACCAGCACAAGAUGAGGGUAUGUUCAGAACACAAGAAUUGCACAGGUAUGUAUAGAAAUGUUAUAAGAAUCAGUUCAACUCCAGUACUCCACAGACAGGAACAGGAAAAAAUCUCGAGCCCAAACAAAGCCUGAUUGUGCUGUUCAAGGUCAAGAGAUCUUUCAACUCUGUAUCAUGAGGCGUGAUGCGUUUCGGAUAAGACCAAUGGACAACGUGUCACACCCUCUCACUUAGCUGGAUACAGUUUCGUUUCAGCGUCAUUUUUUCUUCUAGAUAUGUGAACAUUCUGAAAUCCACGGCAUGCGCCCCCCCCCCCCCCCCCCCCCACCCUUGCACCUUGUCACUAUGAUGAUGACAAUACCUCAGCAUGUUCAUUUGUCUUAGGAUGGCCAUGAUUGGUUGUUCAUCCAAAGAGAUGGGCCUAAUUUCACGCCAGAUACGGACCAAAAUGUUAGUGCCCAUUUGUUUCACAUGAUAAGUUCUCCAUCAGUCUCGCUGAGAGUUUGGAUCCAGCGCCGGGUCCGACUAUGGAUUGCGACAAUAAUUCUCCACAAAAAGGAACUUGCGCAACCCCAAAACUCUUUAGAUGAAUGAAUGGCACUAAAAUUGCACCAUAAGAAAUGAAUGAUGUGUUUUUGCAGGCUUUUCUUUUUCUCCUCCUGAUGAUGAAAAUGCCAUCUCCGUUUCCAGCGAGCUACAUCUAUUUCCCCUUCAUCAGGUCCUCCAAAACAAUGGUGGCAGCGUUGCGUCCUGGCGCACCCAUCACCCCACCACCUGGGUGUGCGCCACUCCCGCAGAGGUACAGCCCCUUCACAGGAGUUCUGUAAUCUGACCUGUAUGCUCCAAAGUGCAAACAGGCUAGUCAUGAUCCCAAAGCCACAGAUUCUGACAGUGAAGCUUCAAAGAUUGGCAAGGAGAAAAAGGAUCAAUGCAAUAGACAACUAUUACCAUCCCUUGGCGGGCCUCAUGAGGAAAAGAGAAUCUAAGCCCAUUGCACCGUGGAAAAUGUUGCCCCCUGUGAAAUGUGAAUCAUGUUUUCUUAAAGCUAAGCCUCCAAUAGGUACAGUAAAGUAAAACAUCGAAAGGAUCAAGUAUGCAAAGGUUAUGUAUACUAUUGGAAAGAGCUUACCUGUUAGACCAAACUCUCUUUCAAGAUCAGGUGGAGUCAGCAUAUCAUAGCCUACCACCGAUGAGCUAAAGCCCGGUGCAUAUUCAUCAAUCAAAGAAAAGCAUCGCUCAACAAAGGCUUUCUGAAAAUUAGUUUCCAUCAAAAUGGUUACUGAUGGCUGUGGUAAAUCCAGCAAAAGAGUCUAUCCACAGAUGGUGUUAGCAGCAAUGCUUAACAGUAUUUGUGCGCCAUCCGCAUGUGCAAACGUUGAACACAGAAUGUAUAGCGAGAUCAAAGUGUGAGUAAGAUCAACAUACUCUGACAUUAGAAUCCUGCCAACUGCCUUCUGAAAGUUUGUAGGGUGUGUACUGAACAAAAAGAUUAAUAACAUGCUGACCUAUCGAAAGGAUAAAGCAAAAGAUGGAAAUUAUGUCAGAGUAGGAACGAAAUUGCCUUGCACACAAAGAGUAGUGGUAGGAUCCUAUGACAGUUUAACGAUGCAUGCCCCAUAUAAUUUCUUGCUCUAUUGGGAUUUUGGGAUAGUGAGAUAUGUCUUAGUAGAUAUUUUGCACUAUAUGUUUUGCCUUAUGCCACUGCAAUGAUAAGGGAACAAGAAACAUGCAUACCUGGUGGAGAGAUGGUCUUAUCCAAGACAGAAGGAAUUGUCAUUUCUAUAACAGGUCUUUUGGAUGAGAUGCCGCCUGCUGCUUCCCUGUAUGCAAGGUCAAUUUCCUCCAUGCUGGAAAGAAAGCAGAAUUUCCAUAUUAGAGACUAUUUUUCUUCUCAAAUAAAUAGUUUUUCACACAAUCACAUGAGAGGCCAGAUCAUCUAGCUUUCCUUAUGAUAAAAGAAUGAGGAGUGGAUAUCUAACUAUAGGCUGGUCUCAUAUAACAUGAGUGUGGUUAGCAUGAUUGUUCUCUUUAUUAUCCUAGGAUACAAAUGUCAAGAACAUAACUACAUCAAUUUAUACAUGUAGGUAACAAACUUUGUAAAUAAAGUCAGGAUAACUAGUGCAGGGCACUCUUUCAGAACAAGACAACUUAUUAUCGAGUAAUAACAUUAGUGAGUUAAGAGAUUAUUUCCCUUGUCCUACUCGUGUUGAUAAGCACAGGCUGUGCAAUACAUUAAAAAAAGUUGGCUCUGGGGGAAGAUGCACAAUACAUUAACAAAAAUGAUAAAUGUGAUACAAAUAGUAUCUGACACCUUAUUUGUUUAUCCUGUAAAUGCAAAUAAAGAUCAAAGACAACUGAAUAUGAAAAAUAUGUCACUUUAGUUAUAUACCUUUCGGACCCAAUGUGUAUGGUGCCCAUGUGCUCUGGACCACCUUCAGGGUUGAUGUCUUUGCAACACUGGAACUGUGGCAGCUUGUCGACAGCUACAUUAAUCUUUGUUGUUGCCUGCCCCCCAAAAAAGUCAUGUUAUAUCAUUAAUAAUUAUCGAUUAGAGUAUUUCAGUUGGAGUCACUGUUGAUUAUCGGAAUGUUCAAACUAUUCAUCUUAAAAGUAAUUCCAUAAAAUAUAAAUAUCUACUCUACCAAUAUAGAAUUUUUUAAAAAGUCAUGGUCAAGUCACAUCUUGGGAAUGGUAACAAUCAACAUCAUGUAGUGAAGAAUGAAAGAAGCAGAAGAAACAAAUAAUAUGUGCAACAUCAUAAUCAACAACAUGCUGACAUGCAUGUUGACUUUCUCUAAGUUUCAAGUUAUAUAAUGUUUUCCCAUUCCAUUUAAAAAAAAUGUUUUCCCAUUCACAGAUAUCACAGACAGGCAUGUUGGUGUAAAUGAGUUAUAACGGUGCUUUUUCAACUCAGUGACUAUUUGUUAGGUGCAAUUUCUUUGGUUGAAAAAAAACACCAUUAUUAUUGUACUGAAAUAUGUUUGUACACAAGUUCUUACAGAGCUGUAAUCUGCUGCCUUAAUUGCACAGAGGAAGUCCUUUGGAAGAACAGUAGAAGGUACUAGGUCCUGCAAGAGAAACCACAUAUCAGUAUAAGAAAUAUUUGCUUAGUUAUGCUAGCAAAACUAGAGCUGGUACAUCUUUGCAAUAUUACAUAUUUCUGAGUUUUCCUUACCACAAAUGUUUUGUAUGGAGUGGCAUUUGAGAGAACAACUGGCGAGUGCACCACUGUUCCAUCAGCCAAAGCUACCUACAAAUCCCAAUCUUUCAAGAGGUUGAAAGGAAUGAAAGGCACUUACAGGUUAAUCAAAGUACUUACCCCUUUUACCCUUCCACUAUUAUUAACCAUUACUUGGGAAACCUAAACAAGAACAAAGGAUCAAGUCAAGCAAGAUGCCUAAUAUGGAAUGUAAACCACAAUUAUGAAAAAUUGCCACUACGGCAUUACAUAAAACAAAUUAUCCUUUUCCUUUGAGAACUCCAGUUAACAACUUUGAAUAAUUGAUCAGUUUUUUUCUGUUUCAAUUUGGAAAAAUUACUCUGCCAAAGAGCAGCCCUACAUGCUAUAAGAAUUGUAAAGGCACCUCGGCAUUUGUUACAAUCUGCACUCCUGCUUCAAGAGCUGCUUUGCUUAUAGCCGAUGACACUGAACCCAUACCACCUUCGACAUACCUGUAGCAAGUGUAUUAUCUUCUUUACUUAAACAAAAAGUAUUCUGAAAACCGAAACAAAGAUAAACUGACGAAAGAACUAAUAAUGGACCCAACAUACUAACAAGCAGAUUUGACUACAUUGUAUGAUGCCGUUUUCUAUAACACUAAUCCUUGAAAACUUGCUUUCCCAGCCAGUGGAUAUACACACCAGUUGAGGAAACAUUUGGGAUCAAAGUCCCUACUGAAAAUAACAAAAAUAAGAAGCAUCUUAGAGAGUCAAAGUUAGAAGCAUACGCCCAAACACCACGUUGACCACCAGUCUCCCCCAUGACAUGGUGUAGGAGAACAUAUCCAGAACCUGGAGUGUGCACACCAGCCUAUAAAAGAGACAUCCAUCAGUCAAAUGCCAAUAUACUAGGCAAAAUAUUUUGCUUAGUUCAUUCAAAGCACCCUUACCAUAGCUCCUAUCACGGCGUCAGUUGCAAGAGUCGCCUUCAAAACCUCACUCUGCAGUAGACAGCAGUCAAUGAGAAGCCUUUUUUGUUCACAGGUUAAAGAAGAUUAGGUGCAGUGCAGGCUGUCAAUUGAAAUAAAGCAACCACACAGUUGCUUGGUAUGACCAAUGUGAGCAGAAGCGUUUAAGAUAGGACUAAUGCUGACCUCAAACCAGGUGUUCAAGAUUUUCGAUGCCGGAGAAAGAAGGAGGUCAAAGAAUUCCCUGCCGACAACAAUUUGAUUUUUAGAAAGGGUUGCAUAAAUGACGCCGAUCAAAUCAUUAAAAGAAGGGUCAGUACUUAGUACUCACACCAUGUUCGUCUGCCCCUGCUGCAUCACAUGCCGAAAAAGGUGGCCCCAGAAUGCUGACUUCUCGACCCUAUGCUUCAUCCUGUCAACCAUAGAGAAGUGGACCUCCUGCCUCAGCUCGGGUGGAGCCGAGUCUAUGACAAAGUCCAUGAGCUUGCAGAACUUCUCCAGCUUCUCCUCGUAUCUGCAUUCACAAACAGAUCCUACCAAGAUCAUCAUUGUAAUAAAGAGCUACAAUGUACAUAGAUACAACAGGAAUCAGGAACUUAAACACUUAUUUAAUCUAAGAUCAUUCCAAGAUAAACUGCACCUUGGGUAUGCCUCUGCAUCCUUCCUAGAGAACUUGCUGAUCUCUGAGAAGUUUAGCUCCGCAUCCGGACCAAGAAGCAGGUAUCUGCCGUCAAGGCAUGGCGUGAACGACGAAGGGCUCCGUGGCAGCAGCUUCAGUCCGUGCCUCUCCAGCUCCAGGUCACUUACAGUAUAUAUGCAAGGACCCGCAACAACAGCAGUAGUGUGUCAUUAUCACCAGAUACAAAUCAAAACAUCGGUAUGCAGUUCAGAGUUAUGUACAGAGGAGACUAAUCGACAUUUAUAGAAAGCCUCUAAGUACAAGGCCGCGGCGCAUGAAUUUAACAGGAAACGAGGUGUGGUAGUCGCCUUGGGGUAGGUUACUCACCGGAGGAUGGCGGGGCGGAGGAGGCUGAGGAGGUAACUGCAGCGGGAGAAGCGAAAUCCGGGGACAAGGUCCGACUCUGAGACCGCAGCGCCACCCAGGAUGCCCCGGCGCUCCAGCACGGCGACGGAGCGGCCCGCGCGGGCGAGGUAGGCGGCCGCGACGAGGCCGUUGUGGCCGCCGCCGAUCACCACCGCGUCCCACCGCUUAUCCUUGGGCAGCUGCUGCGACGGCCGGGACGGGUCCGACGCCGCUGCGUCCGUGGAGAAGCGGCGGCGACGGGCGGCUCCGGCGAGCAGGAGGCGCCUCGCCGCCGGUGACAUCGUGGGUUCUGCUUGGGUUCUUCACCUGCCACCCGUGCCGAGUGCGCAGUGGACGAUGGGCGGAAUCUUUCUACUUGUGAGAAAUGGUGACUUGUGUGUGCGCUGUAGAUUCCGCGACCGCUGCAGAGAAGACGGAUUCUAAAAGUACGUUUUAGUUAGUAUAUAAAAAAGUCACGGGUCAUAAACAAUCGAGACGCCGCCGCCGACCUCAUCAUCACAGCCGCCGGCAGCCGGACGCUGUCUCCUCGCCCGCUUGCUUUGUCUUAGCCCAGUUGCCGCCGGCAUCGGGGUUGUGUUCUCUGUAUCGCAAUCCUCUUCCUCUGCUCCGCCACCGCGGCGCGACGACAUGUCUCUCUUUCUCAUCUUCUUUUUUUUUUUCUUUCGCGGUCCGUUUGAUUCCUGUUUGCCUGGAUGUAGUGCUAUGUUGGCGCUCAUCGACCAACGCUUAGGUAUUUGAUGAACUAGGAUGUUGGAGAUAAUGUAAGGCCAUUUGUCAAUUCGAUUGUUUGUAAAUGAAGGUGUUUGAUGAAUUAGGAUUUUGGAAAUGAUAUUAAGGCCAUUUGUCACUUCGAUUGUUUGUAGUUGAAGGCUAAGGAAGUUAUUGCUCUGCUCAGGUAGCGCUUGAUUGCAAUACUGCCAUUGUAGGCCUUAGAUCCACAAAGUUUUUGGAUUUUGACACUGUAGCACUUUUGUUUUUAUUUGACAAAUACUGUCGUAAGUAGGCUUAAAAGAUUCGUCUCGUGAUUUAGAGACAAAUUGAGCAAUUAGUUUUUGUUUUUAUCUAUAUUUAAUGCUCCAUGCAUGUGCCGCAAGAUUCGAAGUGACGGGAAAUCUUUAAAAGUUUUUGGUUUUUGAGGUGAACUAAACAAUUAGACAUGUCUGAAGUAGACCGUGCGAAAAAUACUAUUUUUGUUCUCUGGGCAUGGCCACUGCGUUUCUGAAAGUUCCUCCUUGUUGAAAAAUGCUUGCAGGACUGGGUCAUCUAAGAAGCAUGAGCUCAAAUCUAAGAAGACUAUCAGUAAGGUAUUUCAAACUCCUCUCCUUCAUUAGCAUAUAUAAUUGAUUUUUCCUAGAAUUUCAAUUCUGUUAAACUCUGCAGAUUUGAUUUUAUUUGAGUAAUUAAAGACUGUUUAAGCAUUAGUUUUCUACCCCUAUAAAGUAAAUCUUAGAGUAAAAAUCACAAGCGUCCCUUAAACUUGUACGGUGGUGUAAUCUGGAUCCCUAACUCUUGAUUUUUAAUAUUUGAGUCCUUGAACUUGUACUGUGGCGUUACUUAGGUCCCCAACCAUCUAGUUUUGAUAUUUGAGUCCCAAAACUUGUAUGGCGGUGUCAUCUAUGUCCCCAAACUUGUUGACAUACAAGUAGCAUGUCACAUCAGCAUCAUUUGAGAAUUAAUACGAAAUAUAUGUCCUUUUAUGAUAAAAAAGUGAAAAAAAUUUUAUUGCGUCAGGGUCAUCCACGCGUAAGCAAUGCUAGCCUGUCCUCAAGUCAGGGAUUAGGAAAAUUGCCAAGGUGGAUACACAGGAAAAUUUCCAUUUCUGACGGAAGAUGUGGGUUUUUUUUGUCGCGCAGUUUAUAACAUCAAUAAAUGGUUCAAAUUUCAAAGUCUCAGCGACACUAGCGUAUUGUCUCUGUUGUAAUAAGUCCUUAUUGAUGUGUAUUUGGUCAGUAUUAUGGUGUAGCGCCAGUUUCCUGUAUGCCCCAACAUCAUUCUGUGUGUUCCUGAUGUAGUAGUGAACAAAUGCUGCAGAAGGGCAAUAUUCCAAUGUCAUUCACAUGUUCAUGCAUAUACGUGCACCAUAAAAGCAAAUCACCAUGUCAGCAUAGACAGAUUUUUACAGUCAUGAUUUGCCAAUUGAUGGGAACUUAAAACUAACUUGAAAUCCUUUUGUCGCGUUCACCUAGCUAGUUAUAUGUUCUUGGAUGUUUUCAGAGGUCUACUCCAUUCCAAAGUAGACUCCUGCAGCUUGGCAUAUUUAUUUUCUUUUGUAUUGCUAUUGCAGUGUGCAUCAUACACUAUUGAUAUGGAUCCAAUAUGUAAAUUCGCAUGCACUUGUCAUCAUAUUUGUAUAGUUUGCAUUUCCUUUCACUUUUUACUAUGAUGCCAGUGUUUCACUAUCUGUUAACAAUUAUUUUGUUCAGCAGAAAAAUACACAGAGUCGGCGUCAGAAGAAACUGAAAGCAUAUGAUCUCUCGGCACUGUCAGAGUUCCUCCCAGAACCAGCUGCACUAGAGCAGAAGACUGAAGCAAAGCUGAACUGCAAGUCAAGACAGACAUUAGUGUAAUCCUCUCUUCACACCUCCUUGCUUCAGGUCGUCACGUUUUUCAACUGUAGUUUUGGAUUCUAAACCCGAUUUUUCUUGUCCAGGCUACAGGAGGCUGCUCAUCUCAAGGCUGUACUGGACAACCUGCAGUUCCAGCUUGACCCAUUUGCUGUGAUCCAUCAGCAUCUGCUAGCAACACAGCCACCUGCAGCUGCAAAGGGCGAUGCCAUGAGGCAGGGGAAGGACUCCAAGAAAGAGAAAAGGAGGGGGAAGAAGGGCGCAUCAUCAAGCUCUCAAGCAAUGGAUAUCUGAUUGAACAUUCGUUCAGUAGUAACUUGUUCCAGAGGCAACCCUGUUCCAUGAGAGGGAGCUCAUCAGAGUUUCAUAUCAAUGUUUGGCAUACUUUGGGUACCAGUAGAGGUAGUAAUUUUUCUUUUCCUCUUUGGGCGGUCUUUUGGCUGAUGUUUGCUGAAUCAGUGCCAUCAACAGUUAAUAUAUAUGAAGAAAAGAAAUCAAUGUGACGAUUUCUGAGCACAACAAUUUAUUAUACCUGGAGACUGUUUCUGAAGCCUAGUGCAACUGUUGUAUAAAGCCUGGCAACAACAACUGCUCAAAUUCAACACUGAUUCAUGGCAGCUUCUAAGGUGUUAUCAGCCGAAUCUGUUAGCCAUUCAGCAGUAUUUUUCUCUCACAACAAAUUAGCGAACAGUACUUUCAGCCAUAACUUUUCAAACAAGAGAAUAGGCUUUUAGCCUUUAGAUUUGAACUGUUUUUUUGCAAGGAUUGUCAGAGCUCAAAUUCAUUUGUGCUUGUUGCGGCUUUGAGAGACGCCUCUACUGUACUAUAAGUGAUUGGUAUGUAUAAUGGCCCCAUAUGAUGAUGAAACAGUGCUAGACUUACUAUGAGAGACAUCUGAUUAGUUAAGUAUUGUACUUGGCCCUUACUCUCGCGCGCACACUCGUUGGCCCUGCUGAGGCUACAAGUGCUUUGUCUGCUGCACCCACCUCACCGCCCACUUCCUCGCCGCCGUUGCCAGUCACCUCGCCUCGCCGCUCACUGAGCCCCAAGCUCAUCACCUACCGCCGGCGGCGCGUGCGACCUGUGGCACGCCCACCUGCUACACAACAGUCAGCUCCGUCCGCAGAGGGCUAGCUCCAGACUCGCGGCUAAGGCUUCGGCCACCUUUGUGGACAUGACCACACAGGCCGUGCAGCGCAAGGCGCUGCUGAAUUCCCUCUCCGGCUGCUCCAAGACUCUUCAGAAACAUAUCGCCAAGCGCAACAUUCUGUCACGCAACCGUCUGCCCAUGGGAGGGGCUGAUCUACGCAAGUUGUUGGCUGCGGCUAAGCUCAGCUGCAAAGCCGUCGACGGGGCCGACGUGGUGACUGACCUGGCGGAAUGACCACCAGGGGUGCCAUUAUGCUUCUAGGCGGCUUGCACUACUAUCCCAACGGUUGUUGGGCUGUGCCUUGUGGUAGUGCGGUUAUCCUUUCCUUCUCUGCCUUCCUUCACUUUGCUUCCUCUUCAAGUCUUUCUUAUGUUGUAUUCGGCCGGCGUUUUGUCCCGGCAAGGUGUUGUAACUUGUUCUCAUGACGUCGAACUCUCGCUGUUUUAAUAUUCUUACGUGGAAUGUGCGUGGCUUGGGCGACCCGGAUAAAUGUGUAACUGUGCGCAAUGUCAUUUUUAAUGCGAAACCUUCUGUUGUUUGUCUUCAAGAAUCCAAGCUUUCCACAAUUUCAGUGUUCAAGGCCAAAACCUUCCGGCCUGCUACUUUCUCCUCCUCCUUCGCUUACUCCCCGGUUGAUGGCUCAAGAGGGGGGAUCAUCACUGCCUGGGACCCCUCCCUGUUCGCUCUGAGCAACCUGUGUGUCAGCCACACCACUCCAACCACCUCCUUCUCUUGCACUGCUACUAAUCUCGACUUCACUCUAACCAACGUUUACGGCCCAUCUGACCACUCCAACUCCCCCUCCUUCCUCCAACACCUUUGCGACACUGUCUCAGGCUCAUGGGCAUUAAUCGGUGACUUCAACCUUGUCAGAUGUGCUGAGGAUAAAAGCAACAGGCAGUUCAAUGCCUCUCUCGCCAACUCUUUCAAUGACACCUUAAUUAACCUUGCUGUCUGUGAGGUCAACCUUUCUGACCGGCUCUAUACUUGGUCUGACCGGCAAGUCCACCCAAUCUUGGCCAGGCUAGACCGUGCUUUCACCAACAACGACCUCAACUUGGCCUUCCCCCUAACCAGUUUAUCCUCUCUUCCCAAACCUACCUCCGACCACUACCCGCUAGUGCUCUCCCUCUCCACCAAUUUGCCCAAACCUUGCUCUUUCAGGCUUGAAAACCAUUGGCUUAAGCAACCAACUUUCCUCCAGUCUGUACUAGCGAGUUGGGAUCAGGCACCGACAACCUCGGAUGCGGCUGGGCAGCUGGUCGCUUGUAUCAAGGCAGCGCGUGCGUCGGCAAAGGUUUGGUCGCGGUGUAACAGGGCACCACCGACUCUAAUUCAUGAUUGCCAGUUUCUUGUGCUUUUGUUCGACUACUUUGAAGAAUCACGACCACUAACACCAGCAGAGUUCCAGGCACGAUACACAGCGCAGGAAAGACUGCAGGAACUCCUCAAAGAGAAAGCGGCCUACAAAAAGCAAUAAAGGAAAGUGACGCCAACACUGCCUAUCACCAUGCCAAUGCAACUCAGCGACUAAGACGCAAUUAUAUUAGAAUGCUUCGGGUUGAUCAGCAAGAUGUUACAAGCCACUCAGCCAAAACUGAAGCCCUCACCACAUACUUCAAGUCAAUCAUCGGGGUAUCUGGCGUCUCCUCGGUCGAGGAUCUUACUGGCCUUUACUCAACAAGUGCCCAACCAAGCAAUGCUCUGGUCAGUGAGUUCACGGAAGAAGAAACCAAAGCUGCUAUUCUGGCGAUGAACACUAACAGUGCACCUGGGCCUGAUGGGUUUGGUCCAGCCUUCUACAAGUCCACCUGGCCUCAUGUCAAAUCCAAGAUCAUGGAGUUCUUGCGUGCUUUCCACAGGGGUCAAGCUCAACUUGAACGCAUCAACAGAUCUCACAUAGUGCUCUUACCAAAAAAGGUUGCGGCUGUUGAAGUUGAAGCUUUCAAGCCAAUCUGCCUGCAGAAUUGCAGCUUGAAAAUACUAUCCAAGGUCCUUACUGCAAGACUUCAGAAAGAGAUUCCACGCCUAAUUGACAUCCAUCAGACCGGUUUUAUAAAGGGAAGAUCAAUAACAGACACUUUCAUUUAUGCCCUUGAGUUAGUUCAAGUCUGUCACAAGCGGAAGAGGCCAGCAAUUGUACUGAAACUCGACUUUGCAAAAGCCUUCGAUACAGUCAACUGGGAUGGUUUGUCCAACGUCCUGAACGCUAGAGGUUUCUGCCAAAAAUGGGUAAACUGGAUGUCUCACAUUCUGAGCUCCUCCAAAACCUCUAUCCUGGUGAACGGCUGCCCGGGCCCGUGGAUCACUUGCAAAAGAGGUUUGCGUCAGGGAGACCCUAUCUCCCCUUAUCUCUUUUUGCUGGUAGCGGAAACCUUGCAGAGGAUGGUCACGAACUGCACUGCAAUCUCUCAUCCAACUGAUGAUGCCUUGCCUUGUGCUGUACUGCAGUACGCUGACGACACGCUCAUAGUCUUCAGAGCGACACAAGCGGCUGCAACCUGCCUCCGGGAAAUUCUUGACAGCUUCGCCGGCAUCACUGGCUUGCAUAUCAACUUCUCCAAGAGCACUUUGGUCCCUAUCCACGUUGACGUUCAGGUGCUGAACUCUUGUGUCAACAUCCUGGGCUGCCGAAAAGAAAGCUUCCCGCAGCAAUAUUUGGGACUGCCUCUCUCAAUGAACAAACUUCCAGUAUUGGCUUUCGGCCCUUACAUUCAUAAAGCAGACAAAUACCUCGGGUCUUGGCAGGCUAGCCUACUCAACAUUAUGGGAAGAACAGUUCUUGUCAAUGCCGUGCUCGACGCCUUACUUGUUUACUUCAUGAGCUCAGUGCAGCUGCCACCGGCUGUGAUUCACCAGAUGGACAAAAAGAGGCGAGCCUUCCUUUGGUCAGGAGAUGUCACCGGGCACUCUUCUGCCUCUGCGUGUCUAGUGGCCUGGCUCAAUGUAUGCAAACCAAAGGAGCAGGGCGGCUUGGGAAUUAAGGAUUUGGGAGUUCAGAACAUUUGCCUUCUCCUGAAGCUGGUUCACAAACUGCAUUGCCCCACUUCUUCUGCUUGGGCGUAGUGGGUUAAGGAGCGAGCUUCGGUAGUCACCCUUACUGGUGACAUUCACGGUGAUCACUGGAACACAAUGCGCUCAAUCCUACCGCUGUACCGUGCAAUCACCACUGUGAACAUCGGGGAUGGAAAAUCCACCUCCUUCUGGUAUGAUGUGUGGGCUGGCGACGAUGCCUUUGAUGAAAUAUACCCAGCGCUGCACAGCCACUGCACAUUCAAGCAGGCCUCCGUCAGUGAAAUGGUGUCCAUUGGAGUUUAGAACACUCUGGUCUCAAGACUGUCAGCUCAGGCUGCAAAUGACCUACUCUCCAUCCAAGGAAAGAUCUCCAACCUUACCCUAAGUCAAGACCCUGACUCGAGAGCUUCCUUGUUCAGCAGAGGGGAGCACAACUUGGACAGUGGGGCAAUCUACAGGAUGCUUAAGGCCCGUGGACAAGCCUGCGAUGCCAGGGCUGAUUUUAUUUAUUUUUUUCGAGAUCACGACUUCACGUGUUUUUCAUUAAGAAGAAGAGCCGAAAGAAACGGCAAGUAACCGAUACAAAGAGUUCGCAAGUAAUCCAAGGAUUACCAUUGAAACCCAGAACACGAACAAAGCAAGAAACACGAGGGGGGAUCCUCCACCUAACAACCCCAACAGCUAAGCCAAAAACAAGAAGAACAACUCAACACCUAGGUAGGCAGCAGUGUUCGGAGCCGCAACAUAAAGGACAACUGACGGUCAUGCAUCCGGCCCCACCUCUUCAACCUCAACGACCAACCCAGCCGGAGACGCGUCCUCAGUGGCAAAGCGAACCAACCGACGGCCAAGCAUCCGUCUCCACUUCAGCAACCUCGACGACCAACUCAGCCGGAGACGCGUCCUCAGUGGCAAAGCAACCAUCCGACGGCCAAGCAUUCGUCCCCACCUCAGCAACCUCAACGACCCACCUGCCGGAGAUGCAUCCUUGGUGGCAAAGCAACGCACCUCGGCGGCAAAGCAUCCGCCGGAAACACCUCGGUGGCAAAGCAUCCACCGGAAAGAGCACAACUGCAGCUUCAACAAACACUAGCCAGCAAACCUGAGUGGAGAGCAGCAUGAAGCACGAAAAGGCUCGGCACGACGCCCGAGGGACCAUGCGGGCUGCAGGCCACGCGCAGAAAGAACUUCGGCGGCAACGCCUUCAAGAAGGAAAGCGACGCAGAGAGCGCCGCCGUUGCCGGCCCAAACGGGCGAGGCGCCCUAGAUCCUUGCAACCAUCAACCCCAGAAGGGACGAGCGCCGUCGGCCGAGGAGGGGUACGCAACGACAUAUGCCUCCAACGAGGAAAACGACGCCCCGAAGGCGUCGCCAUAGUCGGCCAGAAGGCACGGCUUUCGCCUAGCGCCACCCACUCAUGCACAGACCGCUCCAAAACGCCGACCACGCCGCCAUGACGCCGAAGGCGAACCGCCCGAACAGCUGCCCACAUCACCACGAUGCAGGGAGCGCACGAGGCGAGCCGGCCGCCGUAGCCGUCCGCCGCCAAGCAGAUGACCACCGCAGCCGUGGAGGGAAUGCCGAAGCCUUAGCAGCCGCCCCGAACGAGCCCAACCGUCCUGCACCCCACCCCGACCACGCCGGAGCCCAGACGGACGCCAGGCAGGCCGGCCAACGGAGGGAACGGGGGGGAGUCGCGCCAGAUCGGAGGCCGGAGGCCCAGAUCCGGCCGUCCCACAAGCCGCCGACGCCGGGGACAGGACGGGUAGGCCGGCCGACGGAGAACGGUGGGGUUGGCAGCAGCAGCAGAAAAAGGGGGCCGGGGGCCCAGAUCCGGCCGUCCCCCGGCCCAGGCCGCCGGCGCCCACCACCAGGAGGAGCCUGACGUCGCCGAAGGACGGUUGAAACACGGGCCGCCGUCACCGCCGUCGGCCGUGUAGUCCAGCUGGGGCGUCGCCUGCGGCAGGAAACGAGCGGAGCCCCUCGGCGACGCGCGCCGCGGAGACGGCCACCGCCGCAGUCCCCACGGCCGCCGGAUGCGGACACCAAGGCCGCCGGAGGGCAGGGGGGCCAGGGGCCCAGAUCCGGCAGACCACCGGCCCUGGCCACCGGCGCCCGCCCCGAAGAAGACACGGCGCCGCCGCCGGCCCCUAGGCCAACGGGAGAGGGGGAAGAAGUGGAGGCGGGGAGAGGAGCGUGGGGGAGGAGGAGGGUGGGGGAGGGAGGAGCAGGCGCGGGCGGGCGGGCCGCCGCCGCCACCAGGAGGGCGGCGACGGCGGCCGGAGCGUCGCGACGGGGGUUGGGAAGCGGGCAGAGAGGUGACGGAGCGCGCUCCGAUGAGAACUAUGCUGCGGGCUGAUUUUAUUUGGAAAAACCCAGCACCUCCAAGGGUGCAAUUGUUCAUUUGGCUUCUACUUCAAAGAAGAAUUCAGUGCCGGACAGUCUUGUUCAAAAAACACAUCGUCGACAACCCCUCCUGUGAGAUUUGUCACCUGAACACACCAUGUGGGGCUGCAAUCUUGGAAAGCAGGUUUGGAGUAGGCUUGGGAUUGUCUUCCCUCAAGACUCUGAUGUAUCGGCACUAUACUCCGUCUCUCCACCAACCGGUGUGCCUCUGGACCUGUUCCCAGCUUUCAUUGCGCUGGUUUGCUGGCAGAUUUGGAAAGUAAGAAAUGCAAAAACUUUCAACUCUGAGAUUCAAACACUGGAUCAAGUCCUUACCCUUUGCAUGCAUGCUGCCCUUCAGUGGAAACACAGGUUCCCACGCUUGAAGAAGCCAAUCGCCGACUCCUGGUGCUCCGUCUUCCUGAUGGCGAGGCAAGGACAGGGAUAGAUUACCUUACCUCUUUCUACCUUCUAAUGCUGUACUGAUCACGAUGUUGUGAUCAUCUAUCUCAAAAGUGUGCACAUGUAUUCUAAACUUCAGCCGGUUGGGGCUAUUUAAUAUAAUGCAGGUGGGGACCGAAUCCCCCGUUGACAGUCAAAAAAAAUUAUGAUAAGCAUACUGUCUCAGAUCACGUUUUAUUUUAUUAUGAGUGCAACCAGAUCGAUGGAAAUGGCUAUGGACACGUGUGCACUGAAUUCUAUGGAUCCCUGGCCUAACUGAACACGUGUGCACUGAAGCGGCGCAAUGCUCUCAUCUUCCGCAAUGAAAACCCUCCCCUUCGCCAAGUGUUGCAUGCCUGUGCCCUGGAUGCAGCUGCCUGCCUGCCUGGCGCCCUCGGUUCAAGAAAAAGGAAAAGGAGAUCAACACUGCCUGGUGUUCUUAUCUCCAAUCAAUACUAAACAGAAUCACUAGUCCCGUCUGUACAUUCCUUGUAAAGUCUUUAUUUUUUUUUAACACCCUUCCCUUUUGUAACCAUUUUGUGACCAUGGGUCACCUUCAAUAAAGUCAGGUGGGCAAUGCCCCCCGUUGAAUGCUCAAAAAAAAAAACAAACAGAGAACAGGGAUUAAGGCUAAGAGGUAAUGAUCCCCAAUAGGGAUUGGAGUGACAGCCAGGGAUCUACUCAUUCCCAGGGUGGGAAAAAAUAGCUUGGGGAUUGGAUUCCCAUGAACCGAACAAGGUCUUAAUUGGUCCCAAUGACACCAUUCGCGGCAAACAUUUUGAUGGCAAAUUGGAUUUUGUCGAUCUGCAUUUGCUUUUGGGUGAAGGGAAUUUGUGCUGUUAACUUAAAUUUUGUGGAUCUGUUCUUGUGUUUGCAGAAUCCAUCAUUUUUUUUUAAGACAAAGAAGUAUACUCCGUUCUACGGGUGAUAAAUGGAUUUAUGUUUUUUGAAAGAAGUAAAUGGAUUUAUGUUGUAUUUCAACUACCCUUUUGCUACGGUAAAAACACUAUUUUCACCAAUUUGGAUUUCAACUCAGCAGAGGCUGUGACUCUGUGUGACCUGGCCAUGAAAAGAAAACACGAAUACAACACACACACACACACACACACACACACACACACACACACACACACACACACACACACACACACACACACACACACACACACACACACACACACACACACACACACACACACACACAGACACAGAGAGAGAGAGAGAGAGAGAGAGAGAGAGAGAGAGAGAGAGAGAGUAGAACUUGGUUCCGGUAAAUGUAGUUUUUUUUUUAAAAAAAGAUGCUACUUGAUGAUCUUGCCACGACUUGCAACGGUAUUGGUGGGCGAGAUGCGAGGCAUGACCAGAUCUUGUCGCGUGGACGCCCAUCACCUGACAAAUCUGAGCCAACCAUGCAAAGUGAUCUGCUAUUCUCUCCUCUUUCAUAUGAAAUGCACAUCUCAAAUCUCCCUUCUUAAUCCAGUCGGAGACAGCUUAGAUUACAGGCAUGCAACACUCAGCAAGUUCAGAAAAGCGUAAUUCAGGCUUAGCUAGCUGCGCUCAUUUCUCUGGUCAUGAGUUUGCACCAGCAAACUCUUAUUUGUGGAAUACAUAUUGUUUCAUAUCAUGCAUAAAAAGAAUCCAUCAUGCAGGCCUUUACCCUAAAGCUCAGAGAACAAGGUUUUCUAUGUUACGAUAAUCUAAGGGUUUAUUUUGGACAUUGUAUCACGCCAUCACCAAGCAAUUCAGAAAUUGCUCAGGUUACAAAGCAUAGGACAGAUGGAUGUCACCUACUAUUUCUGCACCAUAGAAAUGGGCUCCUGCAAAUUUUUUUUCUAGAAAAGAAUGUCUGGAGAUGGUCAGAUGGACACCAGGUGAAUUCUGAUUUGCAGGAAGAUAGAGAUUGCCUUUUUCUUUUCUUUUCUUUACUUUUCUUUUCUUUGUGCUGUGUUUAAUUGGUCUGAGGUUGAUGGCAUCAUCUGUCACAUUUUCAGCCAUUUAAUUAGAAAUUUUAAUAUAACAGGAUAAGGCAAGCAACCUCUAGGGAUUGGCUGCUGAUGUUGUGCCUAUUUUUUUUUUUUUUAGAAAGGCGGCAAGAGCUUUGCCGUAUUUUUAUUAGACGAGGAAAAAGAAAAACAGAAAAUAUUUACAACAACUUACAUAGCAACUCGACUUUAAACUACUAUGUUGUGCCUAUCAGCUUGGAAAAUUUCACAUAUAUAAACUAACCAAAGGGAAUACAUAGAACUGUUCAUGAUACAAAGCUUUGUUGAUCUGGUGGAAUGGGACAGGUCACCAUUCAUCAAAUAGGUAGGUCAGACAUUCAAACGUGUGACUUCUAAGAUAGAAUCAAAUCUCAUAACUGUAGUGUCUACUUGAUGUUGUGCUACUCUCCAAGAUCAGCAUGAAUUCCAUCUGCUCAUGUUAGAUGUAAGCUUUAUGCCAUUUAUUAUUCAGGAACAAAAGAAUAAGUUUCGUGAUAUUCCGAGAUGAGAUUUCAACAAAGCUUACUGGUCCUGGGUCUGGGCUUUGCUGCUACCAGUAAUUAAACAGUUAGUAUGCAAUGUUAGUUGGAAGUGCAAGGACCAUGAGGCACAUGUGAGAUUCGCUAACAGAUUUGAGCAGACAUUGGGGCUGGAACCUUUAAGGCUUUGUGUAAUUGAGCCGUUGAUGUUAGUUUCGUUUGUAUGGCGAAUCAGAAAAAUGUUGAAAGAACUUGACGGUUGACAGUUAAAAUUUCAGAGGGAACAAUCCAGCUUUCUUCAGAAAAAAAAAAGAAGUCGUGCCCAGUCUCUCCAGAAAACUAUAUAGCAAAAUAAAAAGUUCAACUACUAACUGAGUAUAUGAUAGCGCCAAUGAGUUCCUAUUGACAUCUAAAGAAAUGAUCACCACAUAAACGAAAUCCAAGUACAGCUACCUUGCAAGCUAGAAAAUUUUCAGAAAAGCCUGGUUGCACUUAUACAGAAUAAAAUAAAAGAACAACAACAAGAAGAGUUGUUCCCAACUAACUUGUCACCAUAUUUAAGGAGGUUCUAUGCUACCUUCUUGGAAGAUUUAGCUCCCUCUGCUUCCUGCCCCUCUAAACCAAACUGCUUGUUCUCAUCUGCUUCUACUGUGCUCUUCAUCUUCAGAGUGAACUUUGGUCUAAACGAUUCAGAAGCGAAAGCUGCUAGUCGGAGUUGUACAACUGAGAGAAUAAUUCCAGAGGUAAGAUGGCGGCUGUAGGCUUUGUUUUUCCUGUUUGCGAUCCAUUCUACUGUAUGCAUAGGCCUCUGGAAAUCUUUUCUUCAAUAUCAACAUUCAGGAGAUAUGUGCAUCCUUGGCAUUCAUGCAAAUUGUACCCUUGUUGUCUCUUUUACCCUUGCCAUGUUUUAGUGUAUCUUUUGUAGCAUGAAAGCUAAAAUCUUUUCUUCGAACUCCAAGAACAUUUGAUCUUACUCUACAUUCUUGCAGAGCUCUUUCUCUUUUGUCAAAGGGUUUCACCAAUGGCGAUAAAGAUGAAGGGGAUCUUCAAAGGACUGAAGAUAUUUUCUCAAAUGUUUGGUAAUAAUCCCAUCCAUCCUUCUAUAUUUUUAUUUUAUUUCUGCAUUUUUGCAUUACUUGACUUGAGUUUCUGUGAAUUGGUUUUUACAUCCAUAUUCUAAAAGCAGUACCAACUUAAAAGCAUACGGUGAAAGCACAAGUACCUGACUAGACAUCUGCUCUUUUGCAGUGCAUAAGGAACAUGAGAUGGAGAUUGGGUACCCUACAGAUGUAAAGCAUGUGGCCCACAUAGGUCUGGGCACCAGUGACACAUCUCCAAGCUGGGUAAGAAUAUCAUAACAAUAAGCAGCAUUAACUAUGCUGCAUGAGUUUACAUUAUUCAAAUAGUUCUUUUAACUGAUGGUAAUGUACUUUUUUGUUUUACUUUUAGAUGGCUGAAUUCAAGGGGACAGAUGAUUUAUCAGCAGGCUCUGUGAGCACAGCCGCGCAGUCAAGGCAGACUUCUUGGGCCUCUGCAGGUGAUUCUCACCUCUGCUCUGACAUUUGUUUGCCCUUCAAAAAUAUUCAGUCAAGACAAAAAAGGAAAACAGAGUAACUAAAUGUCAUGAUCAGUCAAUACUUCCAGAAAGAUAAAUAAACAAAGUUGAUGUCCCAUACGACAUUCCAGCCACGCCCUUAAACAAAUAUGUGCCUCAUAAUCAUACAGACAGCACGAGUGAUCAUUUGUGCUUAUGAUUAGGCGCCUGAAUCUUCUUGUCCUAUUUCAUAAUGACAUUAGUGGCACACCACUACACGUCUACACCAAGGACUCUACCUCUUGGUCGCUUGCAUGUAUGCAACUUGUAAUGAACAAAAAUCAGUGUAGAGAGGAUCUCACAGAUCCUUUUCGAUCUCAAAUUUCUAAAUUUAAAUUCGUUGCAGACUUCGAGCAGCCAAGAAGCAUGCUGCCCAUUGAGAUGUUCCAGGACAGCAGGCCCGGGCAAGAGAACCCAGACAUGGCAA
This 31964-nucleotide long non-coding RNA is filed under the name Sorghum bicolor (sorghum). RNAcentral's name for it is "long non-coding RNA (SBIC_LNC005952)". The record is from RNAcentral. Lineage: Eukaryota; Viridiplantae; Streptophyta; Magnoliopsida; Poales; Poaceae.